GACGAACGCUGGCGGCGUGCCUAAUACAUGCAAGUUGAGCGAUGAAGAUUGGUGCUUGCACCAAUUUGAAGAGCAGCGAACGGGUGAGUAACGCGUGGGGAAUCUGCCUUUGAGCGGGGGACAACAUUUGGAAACGAAUGCUAAUACCGCAUAACAACUUUAAACAUAAGUUUUAAGUUUGAAAGAUGCAAUUGCAUCACUCAAAGAUGAUCCCGCGUUGUAUUAGCUAGUUGGUGAGGUAAAGGCUCACCAAGGCGAUGAUACAUAGCCGACCUGAGAGGGUGAUCGGCCACAUUGGGACUGAGACACGGCCCAAACUCCUACGGGAGGCAGCAGUAGGGAAUCUUCGGAAAUGGACGAAAGUCUGACCGAGCAACGCCGCGUGAGUGAAGAAGGUUUUCGGAUCGUAAAACCCUGUUGGUAGAGAAGAACGUUGGUGAGAGUGGAAAGCUCAUCAAGUGACGGUAACUACCCAGAAAGGGACGGCUAACUACGUG
RNAcentral lists this ribosomal RNA (497 nucleotides) under uncultured bacterium. Its description in RNAcentral is "partial 16S ribosomal RNA". It matches the Rfam family "Bacterial small subunit ribosomal RNA", at positions 28 to 507 of the family's 1533-position model. The record is from RNAcentral.